AACGAACGCUGGCGGCAUGCCUAACACAUGCAAGUCGAACGAGACCUUCGGGUCUAGUGGCGCACGGGUGCGUAACGCGUGGGAACCUGCCCUUAGGUUCGGAAUAACUCCCCGAAAGGGGUGCUAAUACCGGAUAAUGUCUUCGGACCAAAGAUUUAUCGCCUUUGGAUGGGCCCGCGUUGGAUUAGCUAGUUGGUAGGGUAAAAGCCUACCAAGGCGACGAUCCAUAGCUGGUCUGAGAGGAUGAUCAGCCACACUGGGACUGAGACACGGCCCAGACCCCUAGGGGAGGAAGGAGGGGGAAAUAUUGGAGAAGGGGCGAAAGCCUGACCCAGCAAGCCCGCGGGAUUGAUAAAGGCUUGAGGGUUGUAAAGCUCUUUUCCCGGGGAUGAUAAGGACAGUCCGGGAAAAAUAAGCUCCGGCUAACCCCGUC
This 433-nucleotide ribosomal RNA is filed under the name uncultured bacterium. RNAcentral's name for it is "partial 16S ribosomal RNA". It matches the Rfam family "Bacterial small subunit ribosomal RNA", at positions 29 to 507 of the family's 1533-position model. The record is from RNAcentral.